This 405-nucleotide ribosomal RNA is filed under the name Triticum aestivum (bread wheat). RNAcentral's name for it is "partial small subunit ribosomal RNA". The record is from RNAcentral. Lineage: Eukaryota; Viridiplantae; Streptophyta; Magnoliopsida; Poales; Poaceae.
AUGAAAAGACCCGAGCUUGGGGAUGCUAUGUUUGAUGAGAAUGACAUGUUUGAGAAUUUAUUUGCUGCAAUUAAUGUUUGUCCCAAGCUUGGGGAUGCUAUGUUUUAUGAAGAUGAUAUGUUUAACCUCCCAAGCUUUGAUAUGCAAAUUUAUUAUGAUGAUAGCAUGCCUCCUAUUUAUGAUGAUUAUAUUAAUGAAAGUGGGUUUGGAGAGGUCAUGACUUUAUUUAGUAAUGAUUUCACUAUUUUGGAAGAGGUUUCAAUUGAUUAUGAUGAGAACAAAGUUGCUACUUAUGAUGAUUAUUGUGAUGAAACUUAUGCUAUAAAAAGUAGUGAUGAUUAUAUUAAAACUUGUCAUGAUUAUGAUUACCCUUUUUUAAACAUUACUCUUUUAAUGUGGAAAUAA